Homo sapiens (human) is the source of this 904-nucleotide long non-coding RNA. RefSeq lists it as uncharacterized. NCBI's taxonomy places the organism in Eukaryota, Metazoa, Chordata, Mammalia, Primates, Hominidae. The transcript has 4 exons. The record is from RefSeq and is a predicted model, not a curated record.
AUACAAAUGAUAAGUGAUUUGCCCAGUGUCAUAAAGAUACUUAGUGGCAGAAGAAAAUUUUAACUCCAAAUUUCUGACCUCUUUUUCUGUUCCAUAAUACUCCUAUAUUUUGAGUAUGAAAUUUUGAAUAAAUAUGAGGCUAAGACACAUUUGUUAAUUUCUCUUAAUGUGCAAUCAGGAAAUUGAAAUAAGGGCUUUCAAUAAGCAAACACAGCUCCUAGUAACAUGACCAAAGAGCCUUAUAAUACUUUUACCAUGAUGUGGUAUCCAUACCUCCCCAGCUUAUUUUCUUUGGAUCUCAAAAUGGAUACUUUGCCUGUCUCCUAUUGCUAUUAAUUGCCACAUACAUCUCUUUGUGUGAUUUGCUUGGCAGCCCUGAAAACAGCUGGCUGUCUGGUUGGAUCAGUCCCCCGUGGCAAACUCAGGACUCUGCGUUCCCAGUACUGGCUCACAGAAUCUGGUUGAAUCACCAAAAUGUGAAGACAAGCCUUCAGUUCCCUUCUUGACCACCAGCAUGGAACUAAACAAUUAAACCUGUCAGAAAAAAAAAAGCUGCUGUAUUUUAAGGUAACAGAGACAUGGACUUUUUAAGGUAACAGAGACAUGGACUUGAGAAGACAACUUGGCUCAAUUCCUAGCUCUGCAACUUACUUACUAGGUUUGUGUCUUUGGACUGCAUCCUAACAAACAACUGUGUCAAGACAUUUGAACAGCAUAUUCUACACAAAUAAAAAGGAAAUGAUAAAGAUAAAAGAAAUUAAUAGAAUGGAAAGUGAUGGAGAUAAACAAGUGAAAAGAUGGUCCUUUGAAAAGACUAAAACAUGGCCAAUGCACUGGCAAGAAUGAUUGGGACAAUAAACAAAAUAUAUAUGCCAGGGCAGCUCCCGGCGAGAUCGACGCAAAA